This 231-nucleotide ribosomal RNA is filed under the name uncultured fungus. RNAcentral describes it as "partial small subunit ribosomal RNA". The stretch from base 108 to 231 matches the Rfam family "Eukaryotic small subunit ribosomal RNA", at positions 739 to 864 of the family's 1831-position model. The record is from RNAcentral. Lineage: Eukaryota; Fungi.
GCACCUCAGCAGUCGCCCGUGCAGCCUUCCGGCGCACGGUCCAGCGGCCGCGGGUGUUUCAUUCUGCUGGAUGCUCCCUCCUGUUCGUUAUGGGGUGGGUUAGGGACGUGUCCAGCUCUUUUACUUUGAAAAAAUUAGAGUGUUCAAAGCAGGCGACAGCCAUAAAUAUCUUAGCAUGGAAUAAUAGAAUAGGACUCGGGUUCUAUUUUGUUGGUUUCUAGGACCAGAGUA